Molecule: ribosomal RNA, 274 nt
Filed under: uncultured bacterium
Lineage: Bacteria
Description: partial 16S ribosomal RNA
Rfam family: Archaeal small subunit ribosomal RNA
Source: RNAcentral
AAACCAGCACCUCAAGUGGUCAGGAUGAUUAUUGGGCCUAAAGCAUCCGUAGCCUGCUCUGUAAGUUUUCGGUUAAAUCUGUACGCUCAACGUACAGGCUGCCGGGCAUACUGCAGAGCUAGGGAGUGGGAGAGGUAGACGGUACUCGGGAGGAAGUGGUAAAAUGCUAUGAUCUCUCGAUGACCACCUGUGGCGAAGGCGGUCUACCAGAACACGUCCGACGGUGAGGGAUGAAAGCUGGGGGAGCAAACCGGAUUAGAAACCCCGGUAGUCC